GACGUAGGGGGCCAGCGUUGUUCGGAAUUACUGGGUGUAAAGGGUUCGUAGGCGGUCCUUUAAGUCUGAUGUGAAAGCCCACGGCUCAACCGUGGAGGGUCAUUGGAAACUGGGGGACUUGAGUGCAGGAGAGAAGAGUGGAAUUCCACGUGUAGCGGUGAAAUGCGCAGAUAUCAGGAAGAACACCCGUGGCGCAGGCGGUUCUCUGGGACGGUACUGACGCUGAGACGCGAAAGCGUGGGGAGCGAACAGG
Molecule: ribosomal RNA, 253 nt
Filed under: uncultured bacterium
Lineage: Bacteria
Description: partial 16S ribosomal RNA
Rfam family: Bacterial small subunit ribosomal RNA
Source: RNAcentral